RNAcentral lists this non-coding RNA (21 nucleotides) under Caenorhabditis elegans. The record is from RNAcentral. Lineage: Eukaryota; Metazoa; Nematoda; Chromadorea; Rhabditida; Rhabditidae.
UUUUUGGAGCUGUCGAAUUCC